RNAcentral lists this ribosomal RNA (423 nucleotides) under uncultured bacterium. Its description in RNAcentral is "bacterial SSU rRNA". It matches the Rfam family "Bacterial small subunit ribosomal RNA", at positions 296 to 715 of the family's 1533-position model. The record is from RNAcentral.
GAGGACGACCAGCCACACUGGAACUGAGACACGGUCCAGACACCUACGGGUGGCAGCAGUCGAGAAUUUUCACAAUGGGCGCAAGCCUGAUGGAGCGACGCCGCGUGGGGAUGAAGGGCUUCGGCUCGUAAACCCCUGUCAUUUGCGAACAAGGGCGCCAACCUAACACGUUGUUGCUUGAUAGUAGCAGAAGAGGAAGGGACGGCUAACUCUGUGCCAGCAGCCGCGGUAAUACAGAGGUCCCAAGCGUUGUUCGGAUUCACUGGGCGUAAAGGGUGCGUAGGUGGCGAUUUAAGUCGGGUGUGAAAUCUCCGGGCUCAACCCGGAGGGUGCGCCCGAAACUGAGUUGCUAGAGGAUGGGAGGGAGACUGGAACUCUCGGUGUAGCAGUGAAAUGCGUAGAUAUCGAGAGGAACACCCGGUG